Molecule: ribosomal RNA, 422 nt
Filed under: uncultured bacterium
Lineage: Bacteria
Description: partial 16S ribosomal RNA
Rfam family: Bacterial small subunit ribosomal RNA
Source: RNAcentral
UGAGGAAUAUUGGACAAUGGGUGAGAGCCUGAUCCAGCCAUCCCGCGUGAAGGAUGACGGUCCUAUGGAUUGUAAACUUCUUUUGUACAGGGAUAAACCUACUCUCGUGAGGGUAGCUGAAGGUACUGUACGAAUAAGCACCGGCUACAUCCGUGCCAGCAGCCGCGGUAAUACGGAGGGUGCAAGCGUUAUCCGGAUUUAUUGGGUUUAAAGGGUCCGUAGGCGGACUUGUAAGUCAGUGGUGAAAUCUCAUAGCUUAACUAUGAAACUGCCAUUGAUACUGCAGGUCUUGAGUAAAUUUGAAGUGGCUGGAAUAAGUAGUGUAGCGGUGAAAUGCAUAGAUAUUACUUAGAACACCAAUUGCGAAGGCAGGUCACUAAGAUUUAACUGACGCUGAUGGACGAAAGCGUGGGGAGCGAACA